RNAcentral lists this ribosomal RNA (427 nucleotides) under uncultured Herminiimonas sp. RNAcentral describes it as "bacterial SSU rRNA". It matches the Rfam family "Bacterial small subunit ribosomal RNA", at positions 355 to 774 of the family's 1533-position model. Lineage: Bacteria; Pseudomonadati; Pseudomonadota; Betaproteobacteria; Burkholderiales; Oxalobacteraceae. The record is from RNAcentral.
UGGGGAAUUUUGGACAAUGGGCGCAAGCCUGAUCCAGCAAUGCCGCGUGAGUGAAGAAGGCCUUCGGGUUGUAAAGCUCUUUUGUCAGGGAAGAAACGGUGAGAGCUAAUAUCUUUUGCUAAUGACGGUACCUGAAGAAUAAGCACCGGCUAACUACGUGCCAGCAGCCGCGGUAAUACGUAGGGUGCAAGCGUUAAUCGGAAUUACUGGGCGUAAAGCGUGCGCAGGCGGUUAUGUAAGUCAGAUGUGAAAUCCCCGGGCUCAACCUGGGAAUGGCAUUUGAGACUGCAUGGCUAGAGUGUGUCAGAGGGGGGUAGAAUUCCACGUGUAGCAGUGAAAUGCGUAGAGAUGUGGAGGAAUACCGAUGGCGAAGGCAGCCCCCUGGGAUAACACUGACGCUCAUGCACGAAAGCGUGGGGAGCAAACA